UACGGAGGGUGCAAGCGUUAAUCGGAAUUACUGGGCGUAAAGCGCACGCAGGCGGUCUGUCAAGUCGGAUGUGAAAGCCCCGGGCUCAACCUGGGAACUGCAUCCGAAACUGGCAGGCUAGAGUCUUGUAGAGGGGGGUAGAAUUCCAGGUGUAGCGGUGAAAUGCGUAGAGAUCUGGAGGAAAACCGGUGGCGAAGGCGGCCCCCUGGACAAAGACUGACGCUCAGGUGCGAAAGCGUGGGGAGCAAACAGGAUUAGAUACCCUGGUAGUCCACGCCGUAACCGAUGUCGCCUUGGAGGUUGUGCCCUUGAGGCGUGGCUUCCGGAGCUAACGCGUUAAGUCGCCCGCCUGGGGAGUACGGCCGCAAGGUUAAA
RNAcentral lists this ribosomal RNA (375 nucleotides) under uncultured bacterium. RNAcentral describes it as "bacterial SSU rRNA". It matches the Rfam family "Bacterial small subunit ribosomal RNA", at positions 524 to 898 of the family's 1533-position model. The record is from RNAcentral.